CUACGGGCGGCUCCAGUGAGGAAUAUUGCACAAUGGGGGGAACCCUGAUGCAGCAACGCCGCGUGGAGGAUGACGCAUUUCGGUGUGUAAACUCCUUUUAUAUGUCAAGAAAAUGACGGUAGCAUAUGAAUAAGCACCGGCUAACUCCGUGCCAGCAGCCGCGGUAAUACGGAGGGUGCAAGCGUUACUCGGAAUCACUGGGCGUAAAGGGCGCGUAGGCGGGUUGGAAAGUCAGGUGUGAAAUCCUACAGCUUAACUGUAGAACUGCACUUGAAACUUCUAAUCUAGAGUAUGGGAGGGGGAGAUGGAAUUAGUGGUGUAGGGGUAAAAUCCGUAGAUAUCACUAGGAAUACCGAAAGCGAAGGCGAUCUCCUGGAACAUUACUGACGCUAAGGCGUGAAAGCGUGGGAAGCAAACAGGAUUAGAUACCCGCGUAGUC
Molecule: ribosomal RNA, 439 nt
Filed under: uncultured bacterium
Lineage: Bacteria
Description: partial 16S ribosomal RNA
Rfam family: Bacterial small subunit ribosomal RNA
Source: RNAcentral